UCCUUAAGGGGGAUAUGGUCGUUUAGGCAGUAUGAUAAUGCGGCCACCACAUGGUAUGGGUAUCUGCAGAAUUCGGCUGUCCGCCUGCUGCCGGUUCAGCUACGUUCAACAAGCUCCUUCUUCGCCUUGCUCACGGGGUAAUCUUUGAAACUACUUCGAAAUCGCGAUCGAUUAUUGCAAUUAUUAGUCUUCAACGAGGAAUGCCUAGUAAGCGCGACAAUCCAGCUCGCGUAGAUGCCGUGCCUACCCUGGGUACACACCGCUUUAAUCGGCUCCCUAAAGGGUGUGCUGGUGAAGUGUCCGGGGUGGCCACAGCUGGCGGCAACAUUGGCUGUGGCUGCAAAGUUCCCUGAAGCCUCCCACCUAGAGGAAGGAGAAGUCGUAACAAGGUUUUCGUAGGUGAACCUGCAGAAGGAUCA
This 419-nucleotide ribosomal RNA is filed under the name uncultured fungus. RNAcentral describes it as "bacterial SSU rRNA". It matches the Rfam family "Eukaryotic small subunit ribosomal RNA", at positions 1408 to 1828 of the family's 1831-position model. The record is from RNAcentral. Lineage: Eukaryota; Fungi.